RNAcentral lists this transfer-messenger RNA (372 nucleotides) under Bacteroidota bacterium. RNAcentral describes it as "Bacteroidetes bacterium transfer-messenger RNA". It matches the Rfam family "transfer-messenger RNA". From Rfam's summary of the family: Bacterial tmRNA, also known as 10Sa RNA or SsrA, is named for its dual tRNA and mRNA-like properties. Its role is to liberate the mRNA from a stalled ribosome. The record is from RNAcentral. Lineage: Bacteria; Pseudomonadati; Bacteroidota.
GGGGAUGACAUGGAUUCGACGGGCGGAGACGUGGAGCAGACUGCGUGCCGAGCUGCCUGGUAUGCUCGUAAAUCUCGCCAGGAAACCGGUAAAUGCGAACGAUUACGCAUACGCGAUGGCGGCCUAAUCAGGCCUGACCAUCUGUCUCCGGCAAGGCACGUCCACCGGCCUGCCUGGAGGCAUCGACCUCAGGUGGACUGGUCGUAAGGGCACCGGCUGAGCCCGAGCGACGAGACCCAAUCAGCCUUGGCCUGCAUCUGGCCUCGCCGACCGGCACACGAUGCAGGCGACACCCCAAUAGGUCGGCUACGCACGUAGACGUCUGUGUCUGCGGCCGUCCGGACCCGGGUUCGAUUCCCGGCAUCUCCACAA